GAGCCAGACUCCUACGGGAGGCAGCAGUGGGGAAUAUUGCACAAUGGGGGAAACCCUGAUGCAGCGACGCCGCGUGAGCGAUGAAGUAUUUCGGUCUGUAAAGCUCUAUCAGCAGGGAAGAAAAUGACGGUACCUGACUAAGAAGCCCCGGCUAACUACGUGCCAGCAGCCGCGGUAAUACGUAGGGGGCAAGCGUUAUCCGGAUUUACUGGGUGUAAAGGGAGCGUAGACGGCAGUGCAAGUCCGGAGUGAAAGCCCGGGGCUCAACCCUGGGACUGCUCUGGAAACUGUAAAGCUGGAGUGCGGGAGGGGCAGGCGGAAUUCCUGGUGUAGCGGUGAAAUGCGUAGAUAUCAGGAGGAACACCGGCGGCGAAGGCGGCCUGCUGGACCGUAACUGACGUUGAGGCUCGAAAGCGUGGGGAGCAAACAGGAUUAGAUACCCGAGUACA
Molecule: ribosomal RNA, 449 nt
Filed under: uncultured bacterium
Lineage: Bacteria
Description: partial 16S ribosomal RNA
Rfam family: Bacterial small subunit ribosomal RNA
Source: RNAcentral